This 215-nucleotide ribosomal RNA is filed under the name Glomeromycotina sp. RNAcentral's name for it is "partial small subunit ribosomal RNA". The stretch from base 75 to 215 matches the Rfam family "Eukaryotic small subunit ribosomal RNA", at positions 722 to 864 of the family's 1831-position model. The record is from RNAcentral. Lineage: Eukaryota; Fungi; Glomeromycota.
GGGUCAGUAGGUUGGUCGUGCCACCGGUACGUACUGGUCUCACUGAUUCCUCCUUCCUGAAGAACCGUAAUGCCAUUAAUUGGUGUUGCGGGGAAACAGGACUGUUACUUUGAAAAAAUUAGAGUGUUUAAAGCAAGCUAACGCUUGAAUACAUUAGCAUGGAAUAAUGAAAUAGGACGAUCGAUCCUAUUUUGUUGGUUUCUAGGAUUGACGUA